UAUCAAUAAGCGGAGGAAAAGAAACCAACAGGGAUUGCCCCAGUAACGGCGAGUGAAGCGGCAACAGCUCAAAUUUGAAAUCUGGCCUCCGGGUCCGAGUUGUAAUUUGUAGAGGAUGCUUUUGGCGAGGUGCCUUCCGAGUUCCCUGGAACGGGACGCCAUAGAGGGUGAGAGCCCCGUCUGGUCGGACACCGAGCCUCUGUAAAGCUCCUUCGACGAGUCGAGUAGUUUGGGAAUGCUGCUCAAAAUGGGAGGUAUAUGUCUUCUAAAGCUAAAUAUUGGCCAGAGACCGAUAGCGCACAAGUAGAGUGAUCGAAAGAUGAAAAGCACUUUGAAAAGAGGGUUAAAAAGUACGUGAAAUUGUUGAAAGGGAAGCGCCUAUGACCAGACUUGGGCCCGGUGAAUCAUCCAGCGUUCUCGCUGGUGCACUUUGCCGGGCACAGGCCAGCAUCAGUUUGGCGCGGGGGAAAAAGGUUUUGGGAAUGUGGCUCCCUCGGGAGUGUUAUAGCCCAUUGCGUAAUACCCUGCGCCGGACUGAGGUACGCGCAUCGCAAGGAUGCUGGCGUAAUGGUCAUCAGCGACCCGUCUUGAAACACGGACCAAGGAGUCGUCUUCGUAUGCGAGUGUUCGGGUGUCAAACCCCUACGCGUAAUGAAAGUGAACGCAGGUGAGAGCUUCGGCGCAUCAUCGACCGAUCCUGAUGUUCUCGGAUGGAUUUGAGUAAGAGCAUACGGGGCCGGACCCGAAAGAAGGUGAACUAUGCCUGUAUAGGGUGAAGCCAGAGGAAACUCUGGUGGAGGCUCGCAGCGGUUCUGACGUGCGAAUCGAUCGUCAAAUAUGGGCAUGGGGGCGAAAGACUAAUCGAACCUUCUAGUAGCUGGUUUC
RNAcentral lists this ribosomal RNA (885 nucleotides) under Cordyceps farinosa. Its description in RNAcentral is "LSU rRNA". It matches the Rfam family "Eukaryotic large subunit ribosomal RNA", at positions 41 to 958 of the family's 3401-position model. Lineage: Eukaryota; Fungi; Ascomycota; Sordariomycetes; Hypocreales; Cordycipitaceae. The record is from RNAcentral.